GUGGGAGGAAGCUCACUCCAGAGGUUCACAAACUGAGUGUCCAUCACUCCACCCACAACCUUGGGGAAGGUCUGAGACAAGAGCCAAUCACUGCCCUCGCAGGGUGUCACUGAUCCAGGUGGAGUGAUGACCCAGAGAAGCUGGAGCUGAUGGAGGUUCAGGUAGGAGGAAUAGUGCUGGGUGUGGUGAGUUAGCAGGGAGUAACGACGUCGAGCUUGAGAGAGCGGAAGGAGAAGUCCUGAAAUUUGAGCGAGGAUAUCCGAAGGUUGACACCCCCAGCCUACACAUUGAACUCUGUUUUCCAGCCCUUGAGCCUUGGUACGGUAUUGACGUUUUCCAAUGCGAUCGUCGCGAUAUGAUGAGAUGCGUCCAUGGCAGUGUCGUAGAGCCAUGUAUGUUCAGGCACUGUCUCCAGAACCCAAUUCAGACUACUCUCCUCUCAC
Molecule: RNase P RNA, 443 nt
Filed under: Astyanax mexicanus (Mexican tetra)
Lineage: Eukaryota; Metazoa; Chordata; Actinopteri; Characiformes; Acestrorhamphidae
Description: Nuclear RNase P
Rfam family: Nuclear RNase P
About the family: Ribonuclease P (RNase P) is a ubiquitous endoribonuclease, found in archaea, bacteria and eukarya as well as chloroplasts and mitochondria.
Source: Rfam by way of RNAcentral